UAUUGCAUAAGUUGAAUAAAAUCAGAUUAAAAAAAAAAAAGGCAAUAUAACUACUCCCUCUCUCUCUAUUCAAAACAAAAAAUUUGCAAUCAAUCCACCGGUCUUGUUUUUUCUUCAACAAUCCCAAUUCAUUUCUCCAAAAUCGAUUGAUUAAUCCUCAAAUUUCACAAAGCACCGGGAAUUGGAGCUCGAUCUGUGGCGGUUCGGCCUGAUUAUAUCCCACACGGAUCGAUCUGCAAUCGCCCAUGUCAAAUUGUUCUCCUAAAUCCAGUGGCAAACCUCUAUUUUCGGAUCCUCGAGGCCGUGGCAAAUUGUUCUCCUAAAUCCGAGUCGAGGAUCAAUCUGCCACGUCGACACGUCUUCAUGGAGCCCGCCCCGGGGAAAUAGAGGUGUGCCACUGGAUUUAUGAGAAUUUGACAUGGGCGAUCGCAAAUUAAUCAACUACUACUAAGGGGCUCAGGGAUGAACAGAUAAUUUUGAUCCAAGAUUUGGAGAGGAAAGAGACGAAGUUUAUGAGACUAGAAAGGAAUAAGAUUGUGGAUGAUAAAUUCGCCAAAAACACGCUAUUUUGUAGACUGAGAAGCUACGUGAUGCUCAAUAUUAUUAUAAGUUGGUGUUAUAAGAAAUAUAUGAGUAUUGGUGUA
Salvia hispanica is the source of this 644-nucleotide long non-coding RNA. RefSeq lists it as uncharacterized. The record is from RefSeq and is a predicted model, not a curated record. NCBI's taxonomy places the organism in Eukaryota, Viridiplantae, Streptophyta, Magnoliopsida, Lamiales, Lamiaceae.